CUGAUGUUAGCGGCGGACGGGUGAGUAACACGUGGGUAACCUGCCUGUAAGACUGGGAUAACUCCGGGAAACCGGGGCUAAUACCGGAUGGUUGUUUGAACCGCAUGGUUCAAACAUAAAAGGUGGCUUCGGCUACCACUUACAGAUGGACCCGCGGCGCAUUAGCUAGUUGGUGAGGUAACGGCUCACCAAGGCAACGAUGCGUAGCCGACCUGAGAGGGUGAUCGGCCACACUGGGACUGAGACACGGCCCAGACUCCUACGGGAGGCAGCAGUAGGGAAUCUUCCGCAAUGGACGAAAGUCUGACGGAGCAACGCCGCGUGAGUGAUGAAGGUUUUCGGAUCGUAAAGCUCUGUUGUUAGGGAAGAACAAGUACCGUUCGAAUAGGGCGGUACCUUGACGGUACCUAACCAGAAAGCCACGGCUAACUACGUGCCAGCAGCCGCGGUAAUACGUAGGUGGCAAGCGUUGUCCGGAAUUAUUGGGCGUAAAGGGCUCGCAGGCGGUUUCUUAAGUCUGAUGUGAAAGCCCCCGGCUCAACCGGGGAGGGUCAUUGGAAACUGGGGAA
Molecule: ribosomal RNA, 569 nt
Filed under: Bacillus subtilis
Lineage: Bacteria; Bacillati; Bacillota; Bacilli; Caryophanales; Bacillaceae
Description: bacterial SSU rRNA
Rfam family: Bacterial small subunit ribosomal RNA
Source: RNAcentral